GAAAACCAACUGGGAUUACCUUAGUAACGGCGAGUGAAGCGGUAAAAGCUCAAAUUUGAAAUCUGGUACUUUCAGUGCCCGAGUUGUAAUUUGUAGAAUUUGUCUUUGAUUAGGUCCUUGUCUAUGUUCCUUGGAACAGGACGUCAUAGAGGGUGAGAAUCCCGUUUGGCGAGGAUACCUUUUCUCUGUAAGACUUUUUCGAAGAGUCGAGUUGUUUGGGAAUGCAGCUCAAAGUGGGUGGUAAAUUCCAUCUAAAGCUAAAUAUUGGCGAGAGACCGAUAGCGAACAAGUACAGUGAUGGAAAGAUGAAAAGAACUUUGAAAAGAGAGUGAAAAAGUACGUGAAAUUGUUGAAAGGGAAGGGCAUUUGAUCAGACAUGGUGUUUUUGCAUGCACUCGCCUCUCGUGGGCUUGGGCCUCUCAAAAAUUUCACUGGGCCAACAUCAAUUCUGGCAGCAGGAUAAAUCAUUAAGAAUGUAGCUACUUCGGUAGUGUUAUAGCUUUUUGGAAUACUGUUAGCCGGGAUU
Molecule: ribosomal RNA, 526 nt
Filed under: uncultured Hanseniaspora
Lineage: Eukaryota; Fungi; Ascomycota; Saccharomycetes; Saccharomycodales; Saccharomycodaceae
Description: eukaryotic LSU rRNA
Rfam family: Eukaryotic large subunit ribosomal RNA
Source: RNAcentral